RNAcentral lists this long non-coding RNA (1249 nucleotides) under Mytilus galloprovincialis (Mediterranean mussel). Lineage: Eukaryota; Metazoa; Mollusca; Bivalvia; Mytilida; Mytilidae. The record is from RNAcentral.
GUUGGGGGAAAAACUUAGAUCAGUUUGCUUUUUUAUUGCCUGUCACAGAAUGUCAGACAUAAAGAUGCUAAUCCUGUGAAAGAAGGUUAAGUCUUUUGCAGAAAGUUACAUUUUUCAGAAGAAACUUCAUUUACCCUUAGAUGCCUUAUGACCAAAUUUUUCUCUCUCAUAUUUCUGUUUGUUUUAUAAUGGUCAUAUGAUUUUGGAGUAAAGAUUGCAUUCAAAUGCAAUCAUAACCCUAUGAUACUGACUCAAUAUUUAAAUCUUCCUUUGACACAAAAAAUAGUGCAUUGAUCAUCACAUUCUUUAAAUCCUAUUCAUUAACAUUAAGGAAAUUUAUGCUCAGAUAUUCAAGUCACAAAAUGAUGUUAUACUUGUCAAGAAAAUUACAUAAUUUUUGCAAGGUGCAGGGAUCAAAUAUCAUGUUUGUCUGGAAGGGUUCAACAGUGACCUUGAACUCAUUAUCAUGUGAUGAUGACCAUUUCGCGGAUUUCUGUAUAUAUGCAAUAUGUUGACAAGUCCUUGUAUGUAAUGAUAUCUGUCGGAAAGAGUUCUUCUGGUCUUGACCCCAUUUGUAUUGAUCAUUGGUCCAGCUUUUGUGAGCAGGUCUGAUAGUGAUAUUUAUAUUUAGUAUAUGGAAUUGUUGUAAUUACUGCAAGCAUUAAAUAUAAGACCAACUAUAUUGGGUAUAUGCAAUGAUUCAGAUGAAUUGUCGGUUUGUCAUGGUGAUUGACGUCUUUGUUGUCAAUUCGUCAAGCUUUUGAUUUUUGCUGUCACGAUUAUUACCGUUUUUCCGAAUACAACUAGUCUGACAAAAUUAAUCUGAUCAUGACUUCAUUUUCAUCUUGAUAAGUUUCCUUGAUAAGAGAGCUACCAUUUGACUUUUAAGGGGGGGGGGGGGGGGGGUGGGGGAGCUAGGAUGAAAAAGGUUCUGCCUUUUAAUUUUCAAUCUAUUUGGUACUGCUUUAUUUUCUUUUUUUUUUUUGGGGGGGGGGGGGGGGGGGGGAUUUUGUUUUACAUAAAUUGUAAUCCUGCCUAUUUUUUUUCACUUAAAACUACCGUCCUGCCUAUUUUUUUUUUCUUCAAAUUCCACCCUUGUCCCCUCCCCCUCCCAAUAAAAAUGGUAGUUCCCUAACGUCUGCAACCAUACCCGAGUUAUGAGUUGUACGUGCAUGUCCGUUUGUCGUAGUUCAUCUAACCAUUUCAUUUUGGUUAGUUAAUCUGCUCAGAACACAUGAGAAGGUUUGGU